CUCAGUUCGGACUGGAGUCCGCAACCCGACUCCACGAAGCUGGAUUCGCUAGUAAUCGCGCAUCAGCCACGGCGCGGUGAAUACGUUCCCGGGCCUUGUACACACCGCCCGUCAAGCCAUGGGAGCCGGGGGUACCUGAAGUGCGUAACCGCGAGGAUCGCCCUAGGGUAAAACUGGUGACUGGGGCUAAGUCGUAACAAGGUAUC
RNAcentral lists this ribosomal RNA (206 nucleotides) under uncultured bacterium. Its description in RNAcentral is "partial 16S ribosomal RNA". It matches the Rfam family "Bacterial small subunit ribosomal RNA", at positions 1287 to 1500 of the family's 1533-position model. The record is from RNAcentral.